UAAGGUGAUUAUAGCAAUGGGGCUCACCUCUUACCAUUCCGAACAGAGAAGUUAAGCCCAUUAGCGCCGAUGGUACUGCCACUGGUGGGAGAGUAGGUCGUUGCCUUUC
Molecule: ribosomal RNA, 109 nt
Organism: Tenacibaculum holothuriorum
Lineage: Bacteria; Pseudomonadati; Bacteroidota; Flavobacteriia; Flavobacteriales; Flavobacteriaceae
Source: Rfam